AACGAACGCUGGCGGCAUGCCUAACACAUGCAAGUCGAACGAGACCUUCGGGUCUAGUGGCGCACGGGUGCGUAACGCGUGGGAACCUGCCCUUAGGUUCGGAAUAAUUCUCCGAAAGGGGUGCUAAUAUCGGAUAAUGUCUUCGGACCAAAGAUUUAUCGCCUUUGGAUGGGCCCGCGUUGGAUUAGCUAGUUGGUAGGGUAAAAGCCUAUCAAGGCGACGAUCCAUAGCUGGUCUGAGAGGAUGAGCAGCCACACUGGGAAUGAGACACGGCCCAGACUCCUACGGGAGGCAGGAGUGGGGAAUAUUGGACAAUGGGCGAAGGCCUGAUCCAGCAAUGCCGCGUGAGUGAUGAAGGCCUUAGGGUUGUAAAGCUCGUUUACCCGGGAUGAUAAUGACAGUACCGGGAGAAUAAGCACCGGCUAACUCCGUG
RNAcentral lists this ribosomal RNA (433 nucleotides) under uncultured bacterium. RNAcentral describes it as "partial 16S ribosomal RNA". It matches the Rfam family "Bacterial small subunit ribosomal RNA", at positions 29 to 507 of the family's 1533-position model. The record is from RNAcentral.